AUGGCGUGCGGUUCUACUUCAGGCAGUGGAAUCGCCAAGCGCAAGCCGUCCACUCCAUGCUCAGCUUCAAGGUGUCUCCGGUACUGGAAGGAAUUCCCUCCUCAUGCUUGGGAAAGGGAGGUUGCUGAAGAUCUACUAGGUUCGUCUUGCCUGGUGGAUAUGGUGGAUCCGGAGACCAGUGCUCGCCGUGACUUGUCUGCGUUCAAGUUGUCGGCUUGGACGGCGGACCCGGACGCCAUCCCCUCCCUCCGCUGGCUUGCUAUCCCGGAGCCUGGCCUAUCAUCGCCAUUGUUGGAGCCUACCUUGCUACAGUACAAGAUCCUGAUUCAUCUGGACUCGGUCUCCGAUCUCUCCGGCAGGGACGAGCCGUUCUUCUUGGGGGUCUCCUCGGACAGCGGUCAGAGCGGGCUCCCGUCGGACGGGAGGAUCAGUGGGUGCAGUGGUGGUGCGGCGGCGACGCCUUGUAGCCGGCCAUGGAGGUUUGGAGUGCGGGAUGUGAGAGGUUCGGUGCCGCCACCGAGGGCUCACGGCGUAGUGGCGUCUCCGGCGUGCUCGUCGGCCGGCGCUGAUUGGCGCCUUCCGCCGAUGAUUGCCGCUGAGGGAGGAUCUGCUGUGGGGUCCACGAUGCCGGUCAGGGACAGGGACAGGCUCUCCGUCAGGGUCUCGGCUUUUGACCGCUUGACCAUGCAGGCGGGGCCGCAGUCAGCCACAAGGAGAAGUGCGAAUUCAAAUUCGAAUGGAGGGUGCGUAGCGUUCAGCGAUGGUUCUGCUAGACAGUUGAUGCACCCCACGCGCCAGGGACUGGUGGGACCGGAGGUUCAGAGAGAGGUCGCCCCGCCCGUUUUGGUGGUUGCAGAUGAGGUUCAGAGAGAGGUGGCCCCGCCUGCGGUUCCGGCGCCAGCUGAAAGAGCACAAGAUCUGGUCUUAGCAGAAUCAGGCCAGCCUGAUGCUCUUUCUUUCAGUCGCUCGUGUCGCCCUCCCCGCGGGCGGCCCGGGCGAAAACCUAGCCCCCACACCAACCCUCCCUCCCAGAUCUCCCGCUCCCUCGCCGCCGCCGGCAAGCGCCGCCAGGCAAAGCCCGCGUGGCGUCGGCGGCGGCGGGGCCUCCUUUUCUCCCUCUCGCGAGGUCAGGGGGGCGCUCGACCUUGGGGAGGCGUGAGGGUGUGGCGCGCGCGGCGAGCAGGCGCCGGUGGUCGCGGGGAGUGCGGCGAGUAG
Molecule: ribosomal RNA, 1215 nt
Filed under: Triticum aestivum (bread wheat)
Lineage: Eukaryota; Viridiplantae; Streptophyta; Magnoliopsida; Poales; Poaceae
Description: partial small subunit ribosomal RNA
Source: RNAcentral